AUUGAACGCUGGCGGCAUGCCUUACACAUGCAAGUCGAACGGCAGCGGGCCUUCGGGUGCCGGCGAGUGGCGAACGGGUGAGUAAUGCAUCGGAACGUGCCAUUGAGUGGGGGAUAACGUAGCGAAAGUUGCGCUAAUACCGCAUAUUCUGUGAGCAGGAAAGCAGGGGGACCGCAAGGCCUUGCGCUCUUUGAGCGGCCGAUGUCAGAUUAGCUAGUUGGUGAGGUAAAGGCUUACCAAGGCGACGAUCUGUAGCGGGUCUGAGAGGAUGAUCCGUCACACUGGAACUGAGACACGGUCCAGACUCCUACGGGAGGCAGCAGUGGGAAUUUUGGACAAUGGGGGCAACCCUGAUCCAGCCAUGCCGCGUGAGUGAAGAAGGCC
Molecule: ribosomal RNA, 384 nt
Filed under: uncultured bacterium
Lineage: Bacteria
Description: bacterial SSU rRNA
Rfam family: Bacterial small subunit ribosomal RNA
Source: RNAcentral